AGCUUAAACGAAAAACAAUGAACUGUUAACUUAUUGCUUUUACCAACAUAUUCUUUGCGUUAUUGAAACUACAAAUCACCAAAUAACUACGUGCGUUUUCUUCAAGGUAAUCGUUGAAAACUUACAAGCAAUAUUCACCUCCAUUGACGGAAUGAAGAAUUUUUAACUUGCUUCCAAGUGUAUUCACAUAGCUGACGAGUUCUUGAGACGUCUUAUCGGUUGCGAAGUUUGUUCCGAAGUUACAGUAUAUGCCAUUGACCAAAGCCUCAGUGGUUAUGGCAACUAUGUGGUGCAAAACCGUGAAGAAUUUCGGGAGAAGUUGAAAUGGAUCAUGG
RNAcentral lists this unclassified non-coding RNA (335 nucleotides) under Dendronephthya gigantea. RNAcentral's name for it is "uncharacterized LOC114534407, transcript variant X1". Lineage: Eukaryota; Metazoa; Cnidaria; Anthozoa; Malacalcyonacea; Nephtheidae. The record is from RNAcentral.